RNAcentral lists this ribosomal RNA (641 nucleotides) under Sepietta neglecta. Its description in RNAcentral is "eukaryotic LSU rRNA". The stretch from base 508 to 641 matches the Rfam family "Eukaryotic large subunit ribosomal RNA", at positions 813 to 946 of the family's 3401-position model. Lineage: Eukaryota; Metazoa; Mollusca; Cephalopoda; Sepiida; Sepiolidae. The record is from RNAcentral.
CCGACGAGUCCUGGCCGUUCGCGAGUCGUAGGGGCCCCCUCUGACUAACCCCGAAGGCGUAGCGAAAGCGAGAGAGCGUGUCGGAGGGCGUCGACCGGGAGAGGUGUCGUGGCGAAGUCGUCGGGGGGGGAAGCUGCAAGUCUCGGUUUCGGCCGUCUCUUGUUUGUUUUUUUCCCCCGCCUCCGAGCCGUGCCCGAUCCCGCCGGCGCGGUGUCUCGUCUUCCGUGCGCCGUCGCCGCAGGCCCGCACUUUUCUUCUCACGAGGAGAGGGAAGGCCGGCGGCUGGCGUGCGGUCGUAUUUGGUUCCCUCCUGCCCGAGACGGGCACCGGUCUAGGGAAUUGCGGGGCAUCAGCUUCCAUCCUCCUUCCGCCCAUCGGUGAGAUCCCGCGGCUUGAACUAGUCCUAUUUUGUCGUCGAGUUUAGGCACUGCGCGCGGGCGCAUCACCCCCGGGUCGGUUCCUUCUCCGAGUACGACUCGGCCGACUCUGGCGUAGCGAGCGACCAGGGACCCGAAAGAUGGCGAUCCACGCCCGGUCGGGAUGAAGCCAGAGGAAACUCUGGUGGAAGUCCGAAGCGCCUCUGACGUGCAAAUCGAUCGUCGGAACCGGGUGUAGGGGCGAAAGACCAAUCGAGCCGUCUA